AUUGAACGCUGGCGGCAGGCCUAACACAUGCAAGUCGAGCGGUUGAGGUAGCUUGCUACCGAUGCAGCGGCGAACGGGUGAGUAAUACAUGGGAAUCUGCCUGGUAGUGGGGGACAACGUCUCGAAAGGGACGCUAAUACCGCAUACGCCCUACGGGGGAAAGGGGGGGAUCUUCGGACCUCUCGCUAUCAGAUGAGCCCAUGUCAGAUUAGCUAGUUGGUGGGGUAAAGGCUCACCAAGGCGACGAUCUGUAACUGGUCUGAGAGGAUGAUCAGUCACACUGGAACUGGGACACGGUCCAGACUCCUACGGGAGGCAGCAGUGGGGAAUAUUGGACAAUGGGCGCAAGCCUGAUCCAGCCAUGCCGCGUGUGUGAAGAAGGCCUUAGGGUUGUAAAGCACUUUCAGUGGGGAGAAAGGUAAUUCACCUAAUACGUGAGUUAGUUGAUGUUACCCACAGAAGAAGCACCGGCUAACUCCGUGCCAGCAGCCGCAGUAA
RNAcentral lists this ribosomal RNA (498 nucleotides) under uncultured bacterium. RNAcentral's name for it is "partial 16S ribosomal RNA". It matches the Rfam family "Bacterial small subunit ribosomal RNA", at positions 30 to 523 of the family's 1533-position model. The record is from RNAcentral.